This 146-nucleotide unclassified non-coding RNA is filed under the name uncultured fungus. Its description in RNAcentral is "sequence contains ITS1". Lineage: Eukaryota; Fungi. The record is from RNAcentral.
UUAAUUCUAGGUAGAUUCAGACACAGACGGACAUUUGCAUGAAUACGACGCCGUAGCGUCGAAGCACAGCUAGCUUCCUCGGUUUUAAGGGUGAAAGGCCCAAGGGCCAUUCGUCAAUGAUCCCUCCGCAGGUUCACCUACGGAGA